Molecule: long non-coding RNA, 298 nt
Filed under: Betta splendens (Siamese fighting fish)
Lineage: Eukaryota; Metazoa; Chordata; Actinopteri; Anabantiformes; Osphronemidae
Description: lncRNA (ENSBSLG00000006865.1)
Source: RNAcentral
ACCAGUGAUGGAACAUGUUUAUUUAUGUUAAGAUGUUCCUUAGCUUGUUGUCCGGUGAGUAAACCUUUGUAUUUUUUUCUCUUUCUUUUUAUCUAGGAUGGAGCAGUGUGAUGACGGCAGAGAGGGAGAAGAAGGAGGAGGAGGAGGAGGAGGUGGUCCACCCCUGGAUUGAGGCCUUCUGGCUCCGGCUGCCACCUAGAACAAAUGACAAUAAGAGGACAAGUGCCAACAUCAGGUAAGUAUAAAGUUCAUGCAAGUGAAGAAUAAAUUAGAGUAGAUUAUUAAGGGGGGGGAAAAA